RNAcentral lists this long non-coding RNA (4910 nucleotides) under Sus scrofa (pig). Its description in RNAcentral is "lncRNA (ENSSSCG00015047520.1)". Lineage: Eukaryota; Metazoa; Chordata; Mammalia; Artiodactyla; Suidae. The record is from RNAcentral.
AAGUAAAAUUUUAUUGGAACACAGUGAUAUCUUUUUGUUUACAAAUUGUCUGUGGCUGCUUUCAUGCUGCAAAAGCAGAAUUUAGUAGUUAUGACAGUGACUGUAUGGCCCAAGGUAGUUCCCAACUGACCCUUGACAAGAAAGUUUGACAUCCUUUAAACUAUUACUUUACUGCUUGGACACGUUGAACAAGUCCUUUAUGAGACACUCUCUUCAGCUCUAAAGCAGAAUUAAUGGCACCAGCCUUGUGAGAAAGUAGUAUCUUGUAUGUGAAAAUUGUGUGGAAACUAAAAUGGUCUACUGUGUAGCAUCAGUUGCUUUUUCUCCAACAUGCUAUUAAGAGAAUUUGCAAAUGUAUUUUAAAAAGUUAAGUAUACAAUGAAUACUUAUUUUACCCACCACCUGGAGUCUAAUACUUAACAUUUUGCUGUAUUUGUUUUAUUGUCCAUAUAUCCAUCUGCCAAUCUCUCUAUCCACCCAUUAAUCCAUCUUAUUUUUUAGUUAUGCGUUUCAAAGUAAGGUGUUGACAUCAGUACAACUAACUAGAGAUCAAAGUUUAUUUUCGUUAGGUAAGAUGUUCUUACAGUGGAAUGCUCAGCAUGUAAGUGGUGGGUUUUCAUAAGUGAGCCUGGUUGAGAUGUAAAACAUUACUGUCACCCCAGAAAGUUCCCUCAUGCCCCUUUCUCAGUCAAUUCCCACCCCACCAUGCUCCCCAAGGCAACUCCUAUCCUGAUCUUUUUCACUCAGUAUUAUGUCUGAGACUCAGUGUAUUGUUGUGUCUAACAGUAGCUUGUUGCUCUAUGUUGCUGAGUAAUAUUAAUUUUAUGAACACACCAUAGUUUAUUCAUUCACCUGUUGAUGGAUACCUGGUCUUUCUCUGGUUUUUAAUUAUUGUGAAUAAAUCUGCUUUGAACAUUCUGAUACAGAUCUUUUGUGGACACUUGCUUUUUUAAAUCUCUUGCAUAACCAUCUGGGAGUGGAGUGAAGUCAAAAGGUUGUUUUACCAGAAACUGGGAAACCUUUUUUCCAAAGUGGUGGUACAAUUUCACACCCCUACUAACAACAGGUUAGUGUUCUGAUUGUUGCACACUCUUGCCAAAAUUUGAUGGUAUCCAUCUUUUUAAUUUUAGCCUUUCUGGUAGAUGAGAUAGUGGUAUCUCAUGGUGGAUUUAAUUUGUAUUUUCCUGAUGACUAACAAUGAUGAGCAGCUUUUGUGUAUUGGUCAUUUAUAUGUAUCUGGCAAAGUUGAAUUACUGUAUAGUAUAAAGCAAGGGUAGAAGUUAUUAUAAUCCAUACAGGUAUGUGGUCACUUUAUUCAGUUUGUUCAAAAGACAUUCUUUUCCUUGUUGAGUUGCUUUGUUCCUUUACUAUAAAUAAAUCAAAAUUAUAAGUGCAGGUCUAUUUUUGUUCCAUUGAUCUACUUGUUUAUGUUAACACCAGUACCAUACUCUCUUGAUUACUGUGAGUUUAUAGUAAAUCUUACAUUCAGGUAGUGUAAGUCAUCCAACUUUAUUUUUAUUUUCAAGAUUACUUUAGAUACUCUAGGUCCUUUACAUUCUCAUACAAAUGUUUCAGUAACUUGUCUAGUUUUUUUAAAAACCUGGUGGAGUUAUGAUAGGGAUUUCAUUGACUCUAUGGAUCUGAGGAAAACUGAUAUUUUAACAAUGUUGGGACUUGACAGUCGAUGAAUGGGGACUAUUUUUAUGUUUAUUUAGGUCUUUAAUUUCUCUCAACAGUGAUUUCAAUGUAGUUUUAAUGUGGAGGUUUUGCAUGUUUUUCAUUAGCUUUAUUCCUAAGUAUUUUAUGGAUUUUGGUGCUUUUAAAUGUGGGAUUUUCUAUCUUAUUUUUUUUGAAGUUUUAUUUAAAUAUAGUUCAUUUACAAUAUUGUAAUAAUUUCUUCUGUAUAACAAAGUGAUUCAGUUAUUCAUAUGCACACAUCCAUUCUUUUCCAAAUUCUUUUCCCAUAUAGAUUAUCAUAGAAUAUUGGGUAGAAUUCCCUGUGCUAUACAGCAGAUCUCCAUUGGCCAGUCAUUCCAUAUACUACAGUGUACCUAGGCCACUCUAAAAUUUCAUUUUCCAGUUGUUUAUAGCAAGUAUAUAAAAGACAGUUGAUUUUUUGUGUAUUGAUCUUGUAUCCUGAAACCAGGCUAAAUUCAUUAUUCAUUUUAGGAGUUGCUUUGUCAAUUCCUUAAGAUUUUCUGUGUAAAUAAUCAUGUCAUCUGUGAAAAGAAUUAUUUUUACUCUUCCUUUCCAAUCUUUAUGACUUUAUUUCUUUUCUUCCCCUUAUUGUUACACUGGCUAAGAUCUUCUGUAUAAUAUUGCAUAGAAGCAAUAAGUGUGGACAUGCUUACCUUUUCUUUACUCUUAGCCAGAAAGCAUUCAUUAUUUCACCAUUAUGUAUCAUAAUAGCUUUUGUAGGUUUUUCACAGACUUUUAAAAAAUCAUAUUGAGGAAAUUUCCUUCAGUUUCUAAUUUGGUGAGGUUUUUUAAAAAAAUAUCAUAGGUGGGUGGAAUUUUGUUAAAGGGAUUGUCUGCAUUUGUUGAAAUGAUCAUAUAGAGUUUUUUCCUCUAUUAGUUAUUAGGAUAAUUGUUUUCCUUGAAUUUUUUUGAAUAUUAAAUCAAGUUUACAUUCUUGGAAUUAAACCUACUCUGUUGCUAAAAUCAAUUUUGCUAAUAUUUUCUAAAGGAUUUUUGCAUUCAUUUUGGUGAGAAAAAUCAUUCUAUCCUGUUUUUCGUUGUUAAUUUCUUUGUUAGGUUUUGGUAUUAAGGUUAUGCUGGCCUUAUAAAAUGAGUUGAUUCUCUACCUCCGCUGUUUUCUGAAACAGUUGGUAUAAUAUUGAUGUUUGUUCCCUAAACGUUUGAUAGAAUUCACUAGUGAAACCAGAUGGAUGUGGAGUUUCCCUGUGGGAUGGUUUCAUGUGAAUUCAGUUUCUUUAAAAGAAACAAUAAUCUGUUAAGAUUUUCCUUUUCGUCUGGUGUUAAGUUUUGAUAAGUUGUAUUUUUUAGAGAAAUUUGUCCAUUUCACCUAAAUUUUCAGUUUAUUGGUGUUUAUAAUAUUCACUUACCUUUCAUUUUAUUUAUUUUUUGGGGGGUUGCAAAUGGAGAUUUCCAGGCUAGGGGUCAAAUUGGAGCUGUAGCCUUUGGCUUAUGCGACAGUCACAUCAACACCAGAUCUGAGCUGCAUCUGUGACCCACAUGACAGCUCACCACAAUGCCAGAUCCUUAUGGAUGCUAGUCAGAUUCAUAUCCACUGAGCCAUAACUGGAACUCCCUCACUUACCUUUUAAAUAUCUCUGGACUUUGUAGUGAUAGUCUCUCUUUCAUUCUUAGUAUUUUUGAUUUGUCUUUUCUUAAUUUGUUGAAGUAUAGUUGAUUUACAAUGUUGUGCCAAUUUCUGCUAUAUAGCAAAGUUACCCAGGCAUAUAUAUAUGUAUAUAUACAUACAUAUACCUUCCCUUUCUUAUGUUAUCUGUAUUUGUGAUUUGUUUUCUCCGACUAUUCAGGUAUCAGUUACUUAGUCUGUGUAGCACACCACCCCAAACUUCAUGCCUUAAAAGAACUAACCCAGGCUUGUUUACCUGGUGACUCAUCAUCGUCCUAGAGAGAAGGGAAGUAUGGACAUCCUCUUAAGGUCUAGGUAGAGUUCACAUGUGAUUUUUCCCCACAUUCUUUUGACCAAAGUAAGUCACAAGAACAACUCAGAGUUAUAAGGUGGAAAAACAGACCUACCACUCAUUCCAAACAGCUGUGGGGCAGGGGAGAAAUAGCACCAUUUUUGCAAUCUCCCACCUCUUAAGGUGUAUUAUUACAGAACAACUGUUGUGGAUUUGGCAAGUGUUGUGUAAAUAGUCUGGUUUUAACAAUAUUGUGAUACAAUAGUCUUUGUACAGCUUUCUGCAUUUUGUAGAACAUUAAGUUCUUUGAUGUCUCAUCAAAAGCAAUUCUUUUUCUCCCAUUAAUACUUCAGAAGAUUUUUGACUAUUGAUGUGUUUUUGUUUUAAAAGUCAGUAUGUAUUUGACUAUCUACACGACCCUAAACCUAUAGGGAUCAAGAUAUAUUUAUUUUUUUCUUUAUGGCCACACCCAUGGCAUAUGGAAGUUCCCAGGCCAGGAACUGAAUCUGAGCUGCAGCUGUGACCUGUGCCACAGCUGCAGCAGUGCUACAUCCUUUAACCCACUGUGCUGGGCUGGGGACAGAACCCGAGCUUCUGCAGUUGGAUUCUUAACCCACUACGCCAUAGUGGGAAUUCUACAAACUAUUUUUUGAUUCAUAAUAUUUUAGGAAUUCAAAAUGUGGCACUCGUAAAAAUUAUCAUGGAUGUGUUGACUUUGGGCUUAAAAAUAGCCCAGGUCUGAAAUAAUUCCCAUUUGUAGAUAAAUUUUAAGUAAAAUGAAAAGUAGUCAAUUUACCUAGCAUAUGUAAUAUAUUUCACUAGGUUUCUCAUCCUAUCUGUCAAUAGAGAAAUUCUUGGGCACAGAAAAUUUAAGUGGAGUUGGGAAUGGGAUAACAGAAAUACCAUUUAAUUAUAUCAAUCCCUAAGUAUAUAUUUCAGCCUAGCUGUUAAGUCAGACUUGUUUUACAUUUCCAGAAAUCUACUUCUAGGAAUUGAUUCUAUGUAACUCAUGCAAGUGUGAAGUCAUCUGGUGAUAAGUGGUCAUUUACAGCAUUGUUUCUCUCAUGGAAAAAUUGGAGGCAAUCUAAAUACCUGAUAGAGAUUGAUUUUUUUUUUUUAAUAGGGGGAUUUCCUGUUAUGGCUCAGCAGGUUAAGAACCUAGCAUAUUGUCUGUGAGGAUGUGGGUUCAAUUCCUGGGUUCAGCUGUGUGGGUUAAGGAUUCGAUAUUGCCAUGGAUGUGGUGUAGGCCUGCAGCUGCCGCUCUGAUUCGACCCUUAGCUUGGGAACUUCCAUGUG